RNAcentral lists this long non-coding RNA (199 nucleotides) under Elaeis guineensis (African oil palm). Its description in RNAcentral is "long non-coding RNA (EGUI_LNC066923)". The record is from RNAcentral. Lineage: Eukaryota; Viridiplantae; Streptophyta; Magnoliopsida; Arecales; Arecaceae.
GAUCUCACGUUUGAUCUGCUAUUUAAUCUGCAAUUUCUUUCACCAUUUGAAGCAUUUUAUUGCAUUAGAAGCAAGAGAAAACAAUUUAGGCAGAUAAAGAGCCGUUAGAGCAAUUUUAGGAAGCAUAAAAGGCAAUUAAAACAGGCAAAAAAAUAGCCGUUGCUGAUAUUUUCCGUCGCAGGGGUCGACUCAUGAGUCG